CCUACGGGAGGCAGCAGUAGGGAAUCUUCCGCAAUGGACGAAAGUCUGNCGGAGCAACNCCGCGUGAGUGAUGAAGGCUUUCGGGUCGUAAAACUCUGUUGUUAGGGAAGAACAAGUGCUAGUUGAAUAAGCUGGCACCUUGACGGUACCUAACCAGAAAGCCACGGCUAACUACGUGCCAGCAGCCGCGGUAAUACGUAGGUGGCAAGCGUUAUCCGGAAUUAUUGGGCGUAAAGCGCGCGCAGGUGGUUUCUUAAGUCUGAUGUGAAAGCCCACGGCUCAACCGUGGAGGGUCAUUGGAAACUGGGAGACUUGAGUGCAGAAGAGGAAAGUGGAAUUCCAUGUGUAGCGGUGAAAUGCGUAGAGAUAUGGAGGAACACCAGUGGCGAAGGCGACUUUCUGGUCUGUAACUGACACUGAGGCGCGAAAGCGUGGGGAGCAAACAGGAUUAGAUACCCUGGUAGUCCACGCCGUAAACGAUGAGUGCUAAGUGUUAGAGGG
RNAcentral lists this ribosomal RNA (501 nucleotides) under uncultured bacterium. RNAcentral's name for it is "bacterial SSU rRNA". It matches the Rfam family "Bacterial small subunit ribosomal RNA", at positions 338 to 830 of the family's 1533-position model. The record is from RNAcentral.